Molecule: ribosomal RNA, 252 nt
Filed under: uncultured bacterium
Lineage: Bacteria
Description: partial 16S ribosomal RNA
Rfam family: Bacterial small subunit ribosomal RNA
Source: RNAcentral
GAUCCUGGCUCAGAUUGAACGCUGGCGGCAGGCUUAACACAUGCAAGUCGAACGGUAGCAGGUAAGUACUUGUACUUAUGCUGACGAGUGGCGGACGGGUGAGUAAUGCUUGGGGACCUGGCUUAUGGAGGGGGAGUAACGACGGGAAACUGUCGCUAAUACCGCGUAGAAUCGAGAGAUGAAAGUGUGGGACCUUCGGGCCGACAUGCCAUAGGAUGAACCCAAGUGGGAUUAGGUAGUUGGUGGGGUAAG